Molecule: ribosomal RNA, 253 nt
Filed under: uncultured bacterium
Lineage: Bacteria
Description: partial 16S ribosomal RNA
Rfam family: Bacterial small subunit ribosomal RNA
Source: RNAcentral
UACGUAGGGUCCGAGCGUUGUCCGGAAUUAUUGGGCGUAAAGGGCUCGUAGGCGGUCUGUUGCGUCGGGAGUGAAAACUUACAGCUUAACUGUGAGCGUGCUUUCGAUACGGGCAGACUUGAGGCAUUCAGGGGAGAACGGAAUUCCUGGUGUAGCGGUGAAAUGCGCAGAUAUCAGGAGGAACACCGGUGGCGAAGGCGGCAUCCCGGACCGGUAUUGACGCUGAGGAGCGAAAGCCAGGGGAGCAAACGGG